CGGGAGGCAGCAGUAAGGAAUAUUGGUCAAUGGAGGCAACUCUGAACCAGCCAUGCCGCGUGCAGGAAGACGGCCCUACGGGUUGUAAACUGCUUUUGUCGGGGAAUAAACCUCUUUACGUGUAAAGAGUUGAAUGUACUCGAAGAAUAAGGAUCGGCUAACUCCGUGCCAGCAGCCGCGGUAAUACGGAGGAUCCAAGCGUUAUCCGGAUUUAUUGGGUUUAAAGGGUGCGUAGGCGGCUUAAUAAGUCAGUGGUGAAAUCCUCUAGCUCAACUAGAGAACUGCCAUUGAUACUGUUAGGCUUGAGUACAGACGAGGUAGGCGGAAUUGAUGGUGUAGCGGUGAAAUGCAUAGAUACCAUCAAGAACACCGAUUGCGAAGGCAGCUUACUAGACUGUAACUGACGCUGAGGCACGAAAGCGUGGGGAGCGAACAGGAUUAGAUACCCUGGUAGUCCACGCUGUAAACGAUGAUGACUCGAUGUAGGCGAUACACUGUCUGCGUCUUAGCGAAAGCGUUAAGUCAUCCACCUGGGGAGUACGCCCGCAAGGGUGAAACUCAAAGGAAUUGACGGA
This 575-nucleotide ribosomal RNA is filed under the name uncultured bacterium. Its description in RNAcentral is "bacterial SSU rRNA". It matches the Rfam family "Bacterial small subunit ribosomal RNA", at positions 342 to 917 of the family's 1533-position model. The record is from RNAcentral.